Molecule: non-coding RNA, 109 nt
Filed under: Marispirochaeta
Lineage: Bacteria; Pseudomonadati; Spirochaetota; Spirochaetia; Spirochaetales; Spirochaetaceae
Also listed under: 1 other name
Description: Candidatus Marispirochaeta TPP sequence
Rfam family: TPP riboswitch aptamer (THI element)
About the family: Vitamin B(1) in its active form thiamin pyrophosphate (TPP) is an essential coenzyme that is synthesised by coupling of pyrimidine and thiazole moieties in bacteria. The previously detected thiamin-regulatory element, thi box was extended, resulting in a new, highly conserved RNA secondary structure, the THI element, which is widely distributed in eubacteria and also occurs in some archaea.
Source: RNAcentral
GUUAUAGUCAAAGGGAGCUGUGAGUUACGGCUGAGAGGGAAUGGUUCGAUUCCGACCUUCUGACCUGAUCCGGAUAAUACCGGCGAAGGGAUUGACGGUUCGUCACUGU